CUGGGCUGGUUCGUCGUACUUCCGAUCUGAUGAGGAAAUUCACCAUUAUUGUGCCAGAUGAUGGUACAUUGGUGUGCACUUUUCUUCUAGUAAGACGUUGCGAUCCAUUAAAAAAGCAAUUUAAAUCUGUAUAUAGGCCCCGAUAGGAGUUUAUACAUUAAGCGAGUAACAUAGCUUUGUUGUUAUGUGAAUGCGUGUAAACUAUUUGGUGUUCUUACAGAUGUCUGAUGGUAUAUUGACGAGUGUCCCAUACAAUUCCUUGUGAAUUGACAUUCUUUAUGUGGAUGUAAUGUGUACAUUAUCAGCAACGUUUUAAAUUAAGGAUACCAUCAGGACCCGUCUUGAAACACGGACCAAAAAGUCUAACUUGUAUGCAAGUCAAUGGGAUUUUUAAAACCUAUAGGCAAAAUGAAAUUAACUUGUUAAGGGGAUUACAAAGGGUGUAUUAAUUAUACUGUUUUUCCCCCCCCGGGUAUCUUAAUGUAAGUACUGUACUCUCGGUUGCGUGUACUACAAAAAUAUACCGUGAGCAUACAAGCUGUGACCCGAAAGAUGGUGAACUAUGCCUGAUCAGGUUGAAGUCAGGAGAAACCCUGAUGGAAGACCGUAACACUUCUGACGUGCAAAUCUAUUGUCAGAGUUGGGUAUAGGGACAAAACGACCCAUCGAACCCUCUAGUAGCUGGUUCCUUACGAA
Molecule: ribosomal RNA, 696 nt
Filed under: Culicoides oxystoma
Lineage: Eukaryota; Metazoa; Arthropoda; Insecta; Diptera; Ceratopogonidae
Description: eukaryotic LSU rRNA
Rfam family: Eukaryotic large subunit ribosomal RNA
Source: RNAcentral